Molecule: transfer RNA, 60 nt
Filed under: Myxococcales bacterium
Lineage: Bacteria; Pseudomonadati; Myxococcota; Myxococcia; Myxococcales
Also listed under: 1 other name
Description: tRNA-Ser
Source: RNAcentral
GCGAGCGCGGCACCCAGCUUCCCAUGCUGGAUGUCGUGGGUUCGAAUCCCAUCGCCCGCU